CCUGUUUAACAAAAACAUGUCUUUUUGAGUUAUUUUUAAAGUCUGACCUGCCCACUGAAAUUUUAAAUGGCCGCAGUAUUCUAACUGUGCAAAGGUAGCAUAAUCAUUAGUCUUUUAAUUGAAGGCUGGUAUGAACGGUUGGACGAGGUAUAAGCUGUUUCAUAUAAAUUUAUAGUAGAAUUUUAUAUUUUAGUCAAAAAWCUAAAAUUUUGUUAAAAGACGAGAAGACCCUAUAAAUCUUUAUAUUUUAUAAUAUCUAAAUUUUUUGGAUUAAGUUUAUUUUUAUAUGGUAAAAUAUUUUGUUGGGGUGAUAUUAAAAUUUAAUGAACUUUUAAUUUUUAAAAAUCAUUAAUUUAUGAGUUAUUGAUCCAUUAAUAGUGAUUAUAAGAUUAAGUUACUUUAGGGAUAACAGCGUAAUUUUUUUGGAGAGUUCAUAUCGAUAAAAAAGUUUGCGACCUCGAUGUUGGAUUAAGA
Molecule: ribosomal RNA, 474 nt
Filed under: Zeugodacus triangularis
Lineage: Eukaryota; Metazoa; Arthropoda; Insecta; Diptera; Tephritidae
Description: partial large subunit ribosomal RNA
Source: RNAcentral